This 73-nucleotide transfer RNA is filed under the name Heterosigma akashiwo. RNAcentral describes it as "tRNA-Trp". It matches the Rfam family "tRNA". From Rfam's summary of the family: Transfer RNA (tRNA) molecules are approximately 80 nucleotides in length. Their secondary structure includes four short double-helical elements and three loops (D, anti-codon, and T loops). RNAcentral also lists the same sequence under 1 other name. The record is from RNAcentral. Lineage: Eukaryota; Raphidophyceae; Chattonellales; Chattonellaceae.
GCGUCCUUAGUUCAGUUGGUAGAACGUUGGUCUCCAAAACCAAAUGUCGUGGGUUCAAGUCCUACAGGACGUG